GCUUUUCUGAAAAAGCAAUGGCAGAAGCCCUGUAUGAGAAAAAAGGCUUAUACCUGGCACUCGACUUCACCUCUAUAAAUGAAAUGGCCGCGCCGCUUCCGUCUGCCAAACGCCUGGGCACCCACGUUGGUGGGAACAAAGUUGCUGUGUCCCAGUCCUCCUGACCGACUCAGGAAGUCAGCCAAGCGAUGGGUCACACAGGUGGCUGUGUUGCAUGCCCGCUUUUGUGCUGUUGCAUUACUUGUAAGAAUAGAAAAGUUAGUAAAGACAGUUCAUCAUGAUACUCAAGAUCAGAUUAGACUACAUGACAAACUUUGAAGUAUAUAUUUCUGGUAUCAUCAACAACACAUUAAGCACAAUGGAAAUAUGCAGAGGGAAAUAUUCCAAUAGUUAGUUAGUCCAAUAGUUGAGUGUAUAUUGUAAACAGUCAUGCUUACCAUUUUCUCCUUUCCUUUUUUUUUAUUUAAUAGGUAAUGUAUGUUUUCAAUCUUCAAUGAAUUCAAAAUAGCUUCCAUGUAAAAGAUGAAUUUAUUAUAGGGGAAAGAUAAUUAACAUGAAGAGAAAAAUUAUUUUACAUUAGAAAGGUUUUUAGAUGUUAUUAUAUUUUAUUGUAUUGUAGAAAACUGCAAGUAACGCAAUUUUGUUCCAAAUGUUCAGGUCUCUGUCAGAAUCUAAUGUCUACCAGUGGAAAAUUAAAGCAACAAUGUAGACAACUGG
This is a long non-coding RNA of Micropterus salmoides (largemouth bass), 717 nucleotides long. RefSeq lists it as uncharacterized. The transcript has 2 exons. Lineage: Eukaryota; Metazoa; Chordata; Actinopteri; Centrarchiformes; Centrarchidae. The record is from RefSeq and is a predicted model, not a curated record.